This is a non-coding RNA of Pimephales promelas (fathead minnow), 375 nucleotides long. The record is from RefSeq and is a predicted model, not a curated record. NCBI's taxonomy places the organism in Eukaryota, Metazoa, Chordata, Actinopteri, Cypriniformes, Leuciscidae.
CGUUUGCCCACCUGAUCUCUUGAAAGACACCGGUAUUUUGAUGCCAUGGCUAACUGAUAAUGCAGUAAAUUGUAGGGUUGCACAAAUUGCAGCAGAGACCCAGAAUUGUAUAGCCUUGACGACUGACACAUUCCUUUUGUGGCAUAGAGACUGGCUUGCUUCAAAAACAGUUUCAGAUUCUCAUUUGAAAAUUCUUGAGUAUGAUGCACAGAAAAUUCGGUUUCCAAGAAUUGUUGGUGGCCAGACACCAGAGAGAGGAUGCCACUUCAUUCUUUGGGUUAGUUCAAAUCGAGGAGUGUUAAUCACAUGAUGUAGAAAUUUGAUAAUAAAGAGACUGUACAGUGAAGUUAAAAUUUUGUAAAUAAGUAAAUUUAU